CUGUACCUUUGUGAGACUUGUAUUUGUGAGAGAAAUUUUAAAAGGUAUAAAAAUUGAUGCAUUAUAUGGGAAAGUCACUCUCGUUUUAGUUUCCCUUAAAGCAACACCAGGUACUGAGCAUUACAAAGUAACAAGAAUGAACAACACUAAGCAAAACAGACUUUUAUGGCUAAGUAAUGCCCUACUGAAGGACAUGAACAGGCAUCAAAGAACAGUGGAAACUAUGACGGCAUUGGCCCAAGUAUGUUCUGAUGAAGCAUUACGGGUCGCAAACAACGGUAGGAAAUCCAGCCUUCACAGCAUGUUCAUACAUGCAGGAGUUUUUGGAAUGUUCUGGUUGUACAGAUGGCAUACAAAGGAGUGCAUUCUAGACCGUGCAGCAGAAAUAGAAUGAAUAAUCGACAAACUUCAACUGCCGACUGCUUUCAAUUAUGAUUCAAUCUAUGAGCAAAUGAGUGUUGAAGUUACUGGUAUGGGCGAUGCCUCUAUGGAAGUGGCUUACAGAUUGAUGUUAGGGGACGACCAUAGAGUUUUCAGAAGUCAGUGAUAUCUUGUGUCUUGACAAGUUCUAUCUCGGCUGCAAACUGUUUGGAUGAAACAAGCUAGUUUUUGUGUGGAAAAAUUUGAGCAGUGUUUGAAUUAAAAGAGCUUUUUAACGUGCUUCAAAUAUUGAGGUUUUAAUUUAAAAUGUUUGUGUUUGUGUUGCAAAAUCAGUUUGCUAUUCAUUUUUGUUGCGAUUUGCAUAUAAAAUCAAAACCAAAUAAGUUAGAUAAACUCUAGAAAUAUGAUUAUUUUGCAUUUUAUUGCAUAAUUAUCAUGCAUAAUUUGCUCAGUAUCUGAAAAAGCUUUUUUAUAUCAAUUAAAUAAUUCAUAAUAUUGCAUGAUACAAUUGCACCUUUCUGUACAGAUUAAAAUUUUCUAUAGUUGUAAAUACGAGCUCUAUAUUCUAAUUGAUCAAAUAUUUACCAAAAAGCA
This is a long non-coding RNA of Dreissena polymorpha, 975 nucleotides long. RefSeq lists it as uncharacterized. Lineage: Eukaryota; Metazoa; Mollusca; Bivalvia; Myida; Dreissenidae. The transcript is spliced from 3 exons. The record is from RefSeq and is a predicted model, not a curated record.